GACGAACGCUGGCGGCGUGCUUAACACAUGCAAGUCGAACGGAAAGGCCCUGCUUUUGUGGGGUGCUCGAGUGGCGAACGGGUGAGUAACACGUGAGUAACCUGCCCUUGACUUUGGGAUAACUUCAGGAAACUGGGGCUAAUACCGGAUAGGAGCUCCUGCUGCAUGGUGGGGGUUGGAAAGUUUCGGCGGUUGGGGAUGGACUCGCGGGUUAUCAGCUUGUUGGUGGGGUAGUGGCUUACCAAGGCUUUGACGGGUAGCCGGCCUGGGAGGGUGACCGGCCACAUUGGGACUGAGAUACGGCCCAGACUCCUACGGGAGGCAGCAGUGGGGAAUAUUGCACAAUGGGCGGAAGCCUGAUGCAGCAACGCCGCGUGCGGGAUGACGGCCUUCGGGUGGUAAACCGCUUUCGCCUGUGACGAAGCGUGAGUGACGGUAAUGGGGAAAGAAGCACCGGCUAACUACGU
This 467-nucleotide ribosomal RNA is filed under the name uncultured bacterium. Its description in RNAcentral is "partial 16S ribosomal RNA". It matches the Rfam family "Bacterial small subunit ribosomal RNA", at positions 28 to 506 of the family's 1533-position model. The record is from RNAcentral.